AACGCGAAGAACCUUACCAGGUCUUGACAUCCUUUGACCACUCUAGAGAUAGAGCUUCCCCUUCGGGGGCAAAGUGACAGGUGGUGCAUGGUUGUCGUCAGCUCGUGUCGUGAGAUGUUGGGUUAAGUCCCGCAACGAGCGCAACCCUUAUUGUUAGUUGCCAUCAUUUAGUUGGGCACUCUAGCGAGACUGCCGGUGACAAACCGGAGGAAGGUGGGGAUGACGUCAAAUCAUCAUGCCCCUUAUGACCUGGGCUACACACGUGCUACAAUGGGAAGUACAACGAGUUGCGAAGUCGCGAGGCUAAGCUAAUCUCUUAAAGCUUCUCUCAGUUCGGAUUGUAGGCUGCAACUCGCCUACAUGAAGCCGGAAUCGCUAGUAAUCGCGGAUCAGCACGCCGCGGUGAAUACGUUCCCGGGCCUUGUACACACCG
RNAcentral lists this ribosomal RNA (433 nucleotides) under uncultured Enterococcus sp. RNAcentral describes it as "bacterial SSU rRNA". It matches the Rfam family "Bacterial small subunit ribosomal RNA", at positions 958 to 1392 of the family's 1533-position model. The record is from RNAcentral. Lineage: Bacteria; Bacillati; Bacillota; Bacilli; Lactobacillales; Enterococcaceae.